UACGAAGGGGGCUAGCGUUGCUCGGAAUCACUGGGCGUAAAGGGUGCGUAGGCGGGUUUUUAAGUCAGAGGUGAAAUCCUGGAGCUCAACUCCAGAACUGCCUUUGAUACUGAAAGUCUUGAGUAUGGGAGAGGUGAGUGGAACUGCGAGUGUAGAGGUGAAAUUCGUAGAUAUUCGCAAGAACACCAGUGGCGAAGGCGGCUCACUGGCCCAUAACUGACGCUGAGGCACGAAAGCGUGGGGAGCAAACAGG
This 253-nucleotide ribosomal RNA is filed under the name Tardiphaga robiniae. RNAcentral's name for it is "partial 16S ribosomal RNA". It matches the Rfam family "Bacterial small subunit ribosomal RNA", at positions 524 to 776 of the family's 1533-position model. RNAcentral also lists the same sequence under 3 other names. The record is from RNAcentral. Lineage: Bacteria; Pseudomonadati; Pseudomonadota; Alphaproteobacteria; Hyphomicrobiales; Nitrobacteraceae.